CUGAGAAAAACUCUCUUGCUCUUCUCAAUCUUUUUCCCUCUCCAAAAAUCAUAGAGCCUAUAAACUUUUGUGAUUCUCAUCCCGGAUAAUACAGAAGGCUCCAAUUGGUGCUGGCCAUUAGGGUUUCGAGUGAUCAAUUCCGGAGAAAAGGAAAUAUGUGAAGAAAAUGUUUUUCAAGGGCAGGUGAUGGAAAAAUAUCGAAACACACAUGGACGAAAGUUGAUGACGCUAGGUUGGUAAAUGCCCUAGUCUCUUUGGUGGAGUUUGGUUGGAAAUCCGACAAUGAGAUAUUUCAGCCAGGAUAUCUACUGCACUUGGAGCGAAUGAUAGAGGACAAGUUGCCCAGGGUUCAAGUGGAACGAGGAGUUCAAAUGCGUUCAGAGGGACAAGGAGAACUUUGAUGUCUGGGUUCGAAGUCAUCCCAAUGCGAGGGGUUUGUAGAACCCAUUAUGAUGAACUAUCAAAUGUAUUUGGGAAGGACAAGGCAACCAGUCAGUCCUGCGAGCCCCCGAUGGUGAUGGCGUCAAAUUUGUUUAGGAAAAUAGAGGACGAGUUCAGCUAGGAUCACAGGAAUACCAUACCCCAGGUAAUAAAUAAACCCAAUUGCCAAAGGAUACAAUGGAAAAAGAUCAAGUAGAUAUGUCCAUGGGGAAAGUAGUUGUACCAGAUAUGGGGCAGAGCAAAUGUAUCAACGGAGCCAUAUAAACAAACUCAUUGCGUGGCAAACGGAGAAACACGAGCUAGAAUUUGGACAUCAAAAGGAAGUAGUUCAGGCCAUAUUUGGAAUUGAAAGACUAAUUGCUAAUGAUAGAUGCGACCUAAUUGAUAUAAUUGGUAUGGACAUACAAAAGACGGACCUCUUCCUCGUUGUACCAGAAGAGGCACAUAAGUGGUAUUGCAUCCACCUACUUGUUUGGACCCAUUAGAUUGAUCAACUAAUAUUUCAACCUAAAAUAUAUAUUUUGUGAAUU
Non-coding RNA from Benincasa hispida (wax gourd), 971 nucleotides. The record is from RefSeq and is a predicted model, not a curated record. NCBI's taxonomy places the organism in Eukaryota, Viridiplantae, Streptophyta, Magnoliopsida, Cucurbitales, Cucurbitaceae.